Molecule: long non-coding RNA, 1032 nt
Organism: Lemur catta (Ring-tailed lemur)
Lineage: Eukaryota; Metazoa; Chordata; Mammalia; Primates; Lemuridae
Exons: 5
Source: RefSeq, a predicted model, not a curated record
AGGGAGCCCCCGCCCCGCGCCGUGACGACUGCGGACCCGCCGAGCCCCGCUCCCGCCGCGGCCCGGGGUGCGGGCGGGCGGCCCCUCAGCGGGAGCCGGUCAGGAUGCCGGGGAGAUGAGCAAUGGAUGAUUUUGGCUUCCUCUGAAUAACUCCUGAGAGGGCAUGUGUAGUUCCUCUGUGGGAGGACAUUGUCACCUGUGUCAACAGCUUUGAGGCUUUAGCUAAACUUGUGAGAGCAAACAUUGAAGUUGUUCUACCAUCCAUUUUCAGUUCCCUCGAGUGACAGCCAUGGUGUUUAGAAGGGGAAACCUCAUCUUCAGAUCCAGAGGAGGGCUCUGGUUGCUCUAAACCACUUGGAAUAAUCCCAUUUCCCAGUCAUAGUGAUUGAUGCAGAUAGAAAGACACGGCAUGUGGAAGACACUGUGCAUGAGGUGAAUGAGGAGUUCUUCCAGCUCUCUUCUCCAGUCCUGGAGCUCCAGAAAGAGGAGGAUGAGCCAGACCCACUGCCCCCAGGUGAAGGCAGCACAUUUGUGGUGGCUCCCAGCAUCUCCCCUUGUGAGUGGCAGGAAGAUAAACUUCACCCACUGGAGACAAGUGGCCCAGACGGAGAGAAGCUGGGACCCUGGGCCCUGAAGAGCCACCGGGCCCUGGAGCUGGAGGUGAGGAGAGUCCACCUGGCUCAGAGGAUUGAAGACCUGGAGUGGAAGCUGUCCUUGCUCCUUCAGGUGGCCACCAGCAGUUUGAGCAUGGGAGGGAGCUGGCUCAGCUGACAUAGCAGCCUAAGGGGCACUGAGUCACAUCAGAUGCUGCAUGGUGGCCACCUCCAGGAGGUGCCUUCUCACCGAGAACAUGAACGGGCUCCCCUGGUAGGAAGGAGUGGGCAUCUGGGGCCCGGAGUGUGUGCUGGUUUCAUGACGUGCUCCUACAGGGAAACACCUGGAUUUCUUUCAGAGCCUGGACCUCAGCUUGUGCUCAAUUCUGCCUUGAACUUUCUGGGGUGAGGGGAAAUAAACUGACAUGGGUUGACAAAA